GAUGAGAACGUAGCGAAAUGCGAUAAGUAAUGUGAAUUGCAGAAUUCAGUGAAUCAUCGAAUCUUUGAACGCACAUUGCGCCCGCCAGUAUUCUGGCGGGCAUGCCUGUUCGAGCGUCAUUACAACCCUCAGGCCCCCGGGCCUGGCGUUGGGGAUCGGCGGAAGCCCCCUGCGGGCACAACGCCGUCCCCCAAAUACAGUGGCGGUCCCGCCGCAGCUUCCAUUGCGUAGUAGCUAACACCUCGCAACUGGAGAGCGGCGCGGCCACGCCGUAAAACACCCAACUUCUGAAUGUUGACCUCGAAUCAGGUAGGAAUACCCGCUGAACUUAAGCAUAUCAAUAAGCGGGAGGA
RNAcentral lists this unclassified non-coding RNA (353 nucleotides) under soil metagenome. Its description in RNAcentral is "partial contains 5.8S ribosomal RNA, internal transcribed spacer 2, and large subunit ribosomal RNA". The stretch from base 5 to 119 matches the Rfam family "5.8S ribosomal RNA", at positions 40 to 154 of the family's 154-position model. The record is from RNAcentral.